Molecule: ribosomal RNA, 726 nt
Filed under: uncultured bacterium
Lineage: Bacteria
Description: bacterial SSU rRNA
Rfam family: Bacterial small subunit ribosomal RNA
Source: RNAcentral
UGCAGUCGAGCGACAGCACAGAGGAACUUGUUCCUUGGGUGGCGAGCGGCGGACGGGUGAGUAAUGCCUGGGAAAUUGCCCGGUAGAGGGGGAUAACCAUUGGAAACGAUGGCUAAUACCGCAUAACCUCGCAAGAGCAAAGCAGGGGACCUUCGGGCCUUGCGCUACCGGAUAUGCCCAGGUGGGAUUAGCUAGUUGGUGAGGUAAGGGCUCACCAAGGCGACGAUCCCUAGCUGGUCUGAGAGGAUGAUCAGCCACACUGGAACUGAGACACGGUCCAGACUCCUUCGGGAGGCAGCAGUGGGGAAUAUUGCACAAUGGGCGCAAGCCUGAUGCAGCCAUGCCGCGUGUAUGAAGAAGGCCUUCGGGUUGUAAAGUACUUUCAGUAGGGAGGAAGGUGGUUAAGUUAAUACCUUAAUCAUUUGACGUUACCUACAGAAGAAGCACCGGCUAACUCCGUGCCAGCAGCCGCGGUAAUACGGAGGGUGCAAGCGUUAAUCGGAAUUACUGGGCGUAAAGCGCAUGCAGGUGGUUUGUUAAGUCAGAUGUGAAAGCCCUGGGCUCAACCUAGGAAUCGCAUUUGAAACUGACAAGCUAGAGUACUGUAGAGGGGGGUAGAAUUUCAGGUGUAGCGGUGAAAUGCGUAGAGAUCUGAAGGAUACCGGUGGCGAGGCGGCCCCCUGGACAGAUACUGACACUCAAUGCGAAGCGUGGGAGCAACAGGAU